Molecule: ribosomal RNA, 1216 nt
Filed under: metagenome
Description: bacterial LSU rRNA
Rfam family: Bacterial large subunit ribosomal RNA
Source: RNAcentral
CAUAACCCUCUCUAAGGAACUCGGCAAAAUAACUCCGUACCUUCGGAAGAAGGAGUACCUUUUCAAGGUUGCAAUAACAAGGUCCAAGCGACUGUUUACCAAAAACACAGGUCUCCGCAAAGUUGUAAAACGACGUAUGGGGGCUGACGCCUGCCCAGUGCCGGAAGGUUAAAGAAGUUAGUUAACUCUCGAGUGAAGCUGAUGACCGAAGCCCCGGUGAACGGCGGCCGUAACUAUAACGGUCCUAAGGUAGCGAAAUUCCUUGUCGGGUAAGUUCCGACCCGCACGAAAGGCGUAACGAUUUGGACACUGUCUCGGAGAGGGACUCGGUGAAAUAGACUUGUCUGUGAAGAUGCGGACUACCUGCACCUGGACAGAAAGACCCUAUGAAGCUUUACUGUAACUUGAGACUGAUUUUGGGCUGUAUUUGCGCAGCAUAGGUGGGAGGCUUUGAAACUAAACUUACGGGAGUAGUGGAGCCAUUCGUGAGAUACCACUCUGAUACAGCUAGAACUCUAACCUUUUUCCGUAAGCCGGUAAAGGAACACUCUCAGGUGGGCAGUUUGACUGGGGCGGUCGCCUCCUAAAAAGUAACGGAGGCGCACAAAGGUUUCCUCAGAUCGGUCAGACAUCGAUCUUCGAGUGUAAAGGCAAAAGGAAGCUUGACUAUGAGACUCACACGUCAAACAGAGACGAAAGUCGGUCUUAGUGAUCUGGCGAUAUUGAGUGGAAAAGUCGUCACUCAACGGAUAAAAGUUACUCUAAGGAUAACAGGCUGAUCUCCCCCAAGAGUUCACAUCGACGGGGAGGUUUGGCACCUCGAUGUCGGCUCAUCGCAUCCUGGGGCGGUAGUACGUCCCAAGGGUUGGGCUGUUCGCCCAUGAAAGCGGUACGUGAGCUGGGUUCAGAACGUCGUGAGACAGUUCGGUCCAUAUCCGGUGUAGGCGUCAGAGUACUGAAAGGACUCUUCCUUAGUACGAGAGGACCAGGAAGAAUACACCGCUGGUGUACCAGUUAUUGUGCCAACAGUAAACGCUGGGUAGCUAUGUGUAGAUCGGAUAACCGCUGAAAGCAUCUAAGUGGGAAGCCAACCUUAAGAUAAGUACUCUCAUCGCAAUUGCGAGUAAGAUCACGGCGAGGCAAGCCGUUUGAUAGGCAUUAAGUAUAAGUGUAGUAAUAUAUUAAGCUAAGAUGUUCUAAUAGAUCGAGGACUUGA